RNAcentral lists this ribosomal RNA (407 nucleotides) under Verrucomicrobiota bacterium. Its description in RNAcentral is "Verrucomicrobia bacterium partial 16S ribosomal RNA". It matches the Rfam family "Bacterial small subunit ribosomal RNA", at positions 355 to 776 of the family's 1533-position model. Lineage: Bacteria; Pseudomonadati; Verrucomicrobiota. The record is from RNAcentral.
UGGGGAAUAUUGGACAAUGGAGGAAACUCUGAUCCAGCAAUUCUGUGUGUGUGAAGAAGGUUUUAGGACUGUAAAACACUUUUAGUAGGGAAGAAAAAAAUGACGGUACCUACAGAAGAAGCAACGGCUAAAUACGUGCCAGCAGCCGCGGUAAUACGUAUGUUGCGAGCGUUAUCCGGAAGUAUUGGGCUUAAAGGGCAUCUAGGCGGUAAGACAAGUUGAAGGUGAAAACCUGUGGCUCAACCAUAGGCUUGCCUACAAAACUGUUGAACUAGAGUACUGGAAAGGUGGGUGGAACUACACGAGUAGAGAUGAAAUUCGUAGAUAUGUGUAGGAAUGCCGAUGAUGAAGAUAACUCACUGGACAGAAACUGACGCUGAAGUGCGAAAGCUAGGGGAGCAAACAGG